GCAGGGAUACCGAAGUGGUCAAACGGGCAAGACUCAAGAUCUUGCGACUUAGUGUCUUCAGGGGUUCGAAUCCUCUUCCCUGCA
Molecule: transfer RNA, 84 nt
Filed under: Candidatus Pacearchaeota archaeon
Lineage: Archaea; Nanobdellati
Description: tRNA-Leu
Rfam family: tRNA
About the family: Transfer RNA (tRNA) molecules are approximately 80 nucleotides in length. Their secondary structure includes four short double-helical elements and three loops (D, anti-codon, and T loops). Further hydrogen bonds mediate the characteristic L-shaped molecular structure. tRNAs have two regions of fundamental functional importance: the anti-codon, which is responsible for specific mRNA codon recognition, and the 3' end, to which the tRNAs corresponding amino acid is attached (by aminoacyl-tRNA synthetases). tRNAs cope with the degeneracy of the genetic code in two manners: having more than one tRNA (with a specific anti-codon) for a particular amino acid; and 'wobble' base-pairing, i.e. permitting non-standard base-pairing at the 3rd anti-codon position.
Source: RNAcentral